Molecule: long non-coding RNA, 1033 nt
Filed under: Dasypus novemcinctus (nine-banded armadillo)
Lineage: Eukaryota; Metazoa; Chordata; Mammalia; Cingulata; Dasypodidae
Description: lncRNA (ENSDNOG00000052241.1)
Source: RNAcentral
UCCAGACGGACGGGCAGCAGGACGGGAUGUUCCAGCUCCUCACACAGGAGGCAGCCACAGCCAGAUCAGAGACACAAAUAUUUACUGAGGCCAGGGGCCUCCCAGACAUGCUGGCAGAGCUGGGGAAGCCAAUGUAUGGGGCCUCUCCCUCUGGGUUCAGGGAACCCAGGGGAGGGAGAAGCCCCUGGAAGAGGUCUCGCCGAACUCAGUCUUUUUGUCACACCCUCACACCAGGCACCAGGCACCUUCUCGGCCAUGGGACAGAAUGGGGAUCUGACCCCCACUUUGCAGGUCUUGCCGACCCCUCGCCCCGCAGCAGCGGAGGAAGGACCACCCGGUAGAAGCCGCGCUCCCCCUCCCCCGGACUUGUGGGACGUCGGUCGAAUCGAUCCACCCUCGGGGGCCGACGGAGGGGAGAAAAAGCUCCUGCCUGCCUCCCUCACAGCGAGGCUGUGCCGGAGCUUUGGAAGGAGGGAGAUUUCCAUCUCUAAGCCCGAACGGUGCGUGUGAAGAGCUUGCCUGAGGAGGUGGCCAGCGCGGCAGCUGGGGGACGUUCAGGCACAGGCUGGACCAGGUUCCGUCAGGAAGGCAGCGGGGAGAUGCCGGUCGGAUCUCCAGGGCCCGCGGUCCCCGUGGCGGUCAUUUGGAGAUUCUAGCACGCUAGACCUGAGCUGUCCAACCUGGUAGCCACCAGACACACAAAGCGUUUGAGCCCUUGAAAGGCGGCUAGUCGGAAUUGAUGUAUGCACUGAGCAUGAAAUAAGAAUUUCCAAAACUUAGCAUGAAGCAAAAGAAUGUGAACUAUCAAAUAAUUUUGUAUAUUGAUGACAUGUUGAAAUGAAAAUAUUUUGGAUAAACUGGGUUAAGUGAAAUAUACUAUUAAAUAAUUUCAUUUGUUUCUUUUUACUUUUUAAAAUGGCUACUAGAAUGUCUAAAAUAACCUGUGUGGCUCUUAUAUUUUUAUUGGACAAUACUGCUAAAUGUCCAGUGACUUUGUACCUUUGGGUGUGUUUGUACCAGGUAACAUCAACAG